This 3751-nucleotide long non-coding RNA is filed under the name Heterocephalus glaber (naked mole-rat). RNAcentral describes it as "lncRNA (ENSHGLG00000036687.1)". The record is from RNAcentral. Lineage: Eukaryota; Metazoa; Chordata; Mammalia; Rodentia; Bathyergidae.
AUUUUACUCACCCCUGGUGGGUCUUCUGAAGGCCAAACCCACACCAGUAUAGGAGGCCCCCUAAAACUGGGUACAGUGGAUUUUAACUCUGGAGUUAGUCUGCAGUCAGCUUUCAGCAGUUCAUCAGUUGCUGUUUAUUUGUUCCUACCAGUUUCUAUCUCCAUAUGUCUCUGGUCCCGGUAAACUGUGAUUCUCUAUACUUGCAUGUCUGUCUGGUUUUUGCUGUGGCAGUUUGUGAUGUGACCUCAGUGCUCUUAACCACAAGAAUCCAGGUAGAGUCCUGUGAUCAUGGAUGUAAUAGAAGCUAUUCAACAGUUCCUGAUACGGUGGUAAGUCUCAUGAUGACCAACAGUGGCAGUUUGUUGUAUCCAUGGCCAUGAUGAUCAAGAGGGAUAUUGUAAGUGUGGGGUUCUUACAUUUAUUUUAGCAUGUUUCCUGUACAUAUUUAGUAAAGGAAUGAUUCUGUUUACCACUGCUAGUAACAAGUAGCUUAUUAUAUAAAGUUUUGAUAAACUCUGAAUUUAAUCCUAGGAGGUGUGGAGGCAUAUGCAGGGAUCCAUGUAAGUUAUUCAACUGAUCCACAUCACAGUAUUGACCAUAAUUUUUUCUACAGGUAGCCAGCCAAGAGAAAAUGGUGUGAAGAACAACAUCUCUGACCUUGAAGUUCUAAAGAUCUAAGUACUUCAGUUGGUUUCCCUGAUGAUGGAGGUGACCAAAAUUUUAAAGUUGUCCUUUUUUUCUCCCCUCAGGUGAAAGAUGAUGCGUCCUAAACACACAUCUCAAAGUGUUGUCUAAGAUUCCAACAGUUAUUAAAUUAUAGUGAUUGAACUUAAGAAUGGUAAUUUAUGAAAUGUUAUGACUAACCUGGUAAGUAAGAAAUUGUCCCUACCAAGAUGCCAACAAAUAACCUUCAGAUUUCUUGGUAAAGUGGAUGGGAUAUCUAACACAAUGUUACCCUGGCUUUUUGGCAGGUAUUCCAUUAAGUUUUAUCCUAGUGUACAGGUUUGUUGACUUUAAAUCAUUAGAGGCAUUUCUUAUUUUUUGGUAUUUAUAUCAUGAAUGAUGCUUUUGAACUCCUGUGGUAACCUCUGCUUAGAACACAGUUCAAAAUAUGAUUUGUCAGUAAUGCUUUUUGUAAAUAUGAGAUUGUACUAUGGACUUAUUUAGAGAUUGUGAUAGGUUAUUGUAUAGGGAUGCAGGUCAUUGACCAUAUUUCCUAUCCCCUAGUAUUGACCAUGGGAAUUUUGCUAGUGUUUCUUCCAAACAAGAUGGUAUUUCUUAGUAGGCUUUUACCUCAGUGUUCAGCUUUAGCCAUGUAAUUGUGAUAAGAAUAUGAUUUGUCAUGUUGAAAGCCAUGACCAAGGGAAUGUGUCAAUGUCUUCCUUGAAUGACAUAGGUUCCAAAAUCAUUUUUCAUGAUUUGAUUUUCAAGUUCCUCUGAAGACACUGUGGUUAUCCUACCCAUGGGAGUGAGUCAAGUCCAUAGAGGGUUAUGAGGUAAGUGCUGAGGUACCCUAAACCAGGUCUUCAUCUAUAGAGGAAAGGGAUGAGGGUGUCCUGACUAUUACUAGAUUUAGUGGUCACUGCUCCUAUAAGAAAUAAUUUUGUCCUUCACAGUUCUAGUAAAUAUGAGUUUAUCCUUUAUAUGCCAUAGGGAAAAUUGGUGUUUUAGCAAGGACUGCUGAGGGAGUGAUUAUGAACUGGUUAAUUGAAAUCAUUGUGGAACUCUAUGACUGCGGUAAGCAUAGGUUAAUUUCCAGGGUGUGGAGAUGACAAAAUAUGGGCUCUCUGACAAUACUGUUUUUGUUUGGCGAAUCCAAGUAUCCUGAGGAGUUCGGCCGUCCUUUAGCAAUGGGCAUUAAAAAGGGAGUGGGCUCAUGUUCUGACACAGCACCUUCUAUGCCAAACUGGCUUUGUAUGUUUUUCAGAUGCCCUUCAAGAGAACACAGUGAUCCAGAAAAGAUGGUUGUUGCAGUCACCCUAGUAACAAGGUAAAUGAUAAAAUGGUCAUAGUCCAGUGAAGGCUGUUUGAUCUUCUAUAAUCCUGGCAAGUUCCUAACUAGGUGCUCAGAUGUUAAGGUCUUGGCUAGUGUAUUGGUCUGGGAUGAUAGUCACUCACUAGUGACAUCUCAUUUUCAGCAAUUCAUUUUAUGACUGUGUUAGGUUUUAUUAUAUUCCCCCACUUCUGGUGAUACAUGUUUUCAAAACAUAUUAUCACCUUAAUAUUACAAGGAUACAUCAAAUGUCAUUGCAUCUUUUCUGGAAUGUAAUAGAUGUAAUAUGCUUGUAUUGCUACUGGUGGAGAAGAGAUUCAUGUAAUUUUCACUGAGUCCAUCUCUGAAAUAUUGUCCUUGGAAGGUUUGCAUGUAUCACUGAAGACAGACAACACUCUCUUACAAGGCUUUAUCCAUGGAAGCCUCCAAGUAUCUAGAUAACAUAAGUGGAUGCUGAAACGAUGAAGUGACAUAGGGGAUUUGGAGUUGUAUAAGUGCAAAUGAGACAUAUACCAAAUCAGAAGUCUAUGACAAGAGUCCAUAGAUGGGUGAAUACAUCACAGCAAGCAAAAUAAGUUUGUAAAGUAGAACACUACUGAUCCCUCUAUAAGUGCUAAUGUGGGCAUUCACCACAUCACAGGAAAUCAGAUCUUCAUAUACAGGGAUGAGUGAUGAGGAUGUCCUUGACACUUGUUACUGAGGUUUUGUUACAAGUACUAAUGGAUGAAAUGAGAGACAUGAUGAAAAUAUCUAGUGAAUGCAAUACUGCAUUUUGUAUGAGACAGAAAUGAAUAUUGAACCUGUACAAUUUCAGGGAUCCAUCGCAUCAUGGUUGGAUGUAGACAUGGUGGUGUUACAACACAACAGUAAACAUUGAAAAAUUUACAGAUGGCUCUAUUACACAUUUGGACAUGCCAGAGAAUACAAUUUACAUAGAAUUAAGGACUCUAUUAACACAUAGCUGAAGGAUGCCUUUCUGUUUCUGGGUGAGGGGCAGAAAGAGUCAGUGACAUGGAAGAGCAAGAUGAGAGCUAAAUGACAGUUUUCUGUAGGUGCUUUCAAGUUAAUGGAAGUGAUCACUUGAAUGAGUGUGUUGAAAAAACCUUGAACAAACCAAGGAAAAACAAAAGUAUAAAUUACAGCCCAUUGGCACCCAUCCAAUCUUCAAUAUCCAGGUGGCUAGCAUAAGGGUAAUAGCCCAAUGAGAUGUUGUCAUGUACUGGAUUCUUAUGCUGGGAAGGUCACUGUGACUGUCGAGUUCUGAGCUGACCCCACAUUCACACAUCAGAGACCUUAUUUUCAGAUGUGAUUUUCAUUGUUGAUAGUGAAACUCUGAGGUAGUCUCCUUUAUUUGGCAAGUGUGAGGUUAAGGGCCUCAUUCCUAUCAGGGUGUAGAAUCAGGUGCUACUGAAUCCAGGCCGAAAGUGUGCCUUUAAACUGGCCAUUGUAAAGGGGAACAAAAGAGGGAGGGGAGGGGGAGAGGAAAGAAGAAAGAAAGAAAAGAAAAUAGAAGAAAAAAUGGAAACAAAGCUUUUGUAAAUAAAGGAGAAGGAGAGAGGUAGAGGGAGGGGAGGAGAAUGGGAAAAAAAGAAGAAGAAAGAUACAUCAUGAACAGGUACAAAUUCCCUGUGAUGAAUGCUAUCGUUAUGUUUACCUGAAAUGUACUAAUAAAGUUUUUGCUUCAAAAAAAAAGAACAACAACAACAACAACAACAAACUAGGCAUUGUGGAGGAAAAGCAAGGAUUCAGAUAAUUAUC